Molecule: small RNA, 29 nt
Filed under: Bombyx mori (domestic silkworm)
Lineage: Eukaryota; Metazoa; Arthropoda; Insecta; Lepidoptera; Bombycidae
Description: ovarian small RNA-10680
Source: RNAcentral
AAGUAUAGCUUAACUGCCGCAAAUGGUUC